RNAcentral lists this ribosomal RNA (251 nucleotides) under uncultured prokaryote. RNAcentral's name for it is "partial 16S rRNA". It matches the Rfam family "Bacterial small subunit ribosomal RNA", at positions 525 to 775 of the family's 1533-position model. The record is from RNAcentral.
ACGGAGGGUGCAAGCGUUAAUCGGAAUUACUGGGCGUAAAGCGCACGCAGGCGGUUUGUUAAGUCAGAUGUGAAAUCCCCGGGCUCAACCUUGGAACUGCAUCUGAUACUGGCAAACUUGAGUCUCGUAGAGGGGGGUAGAAUUCCAGGUGUAGCGGUGAAAUGCGUAGAUAUGCGGAGGAAUACCGAUGGCGAAGGCAGCCUCCUGGGCUAAGACUGACGCUCAUGCGCGAAAGCGUGGGGAGCAAACAG